Molecule: unclassified non-coding RNA, 347 nt
Filed under: soil metagenome
Description: partial contains 5.8S ribosomal RNA, internal transcribed spacer 2, and large subunit ribosomal RNA
Rfam family: 5.8S ribosomal RNA (bases 1-120)
Source: RNAcentral
GAUGAAGAACGUAGCAAAAUGCGAUAAGUAAUGUGAAUUGCAGAAUUCAGUGAAUCAUCGAAUCUUUGAACGCACAUUGCGCCCGCUGGUAUUCCGGCGGGCAUGCCUGUUCGAGCGUCAUUUCAACCCUCAAGCCCCCCGGGUUUGGUGUUGUGGAUCGGCUCUGCCUCACGGCGGUGCCGCCCCCGAAAUACAUUGGCGGUCUCGCUGCAGCCUCCAUUGCGUAGUAGCUAACACCUCGCAACUGGAACGCGGCGCGGCCAUGCCGUAAAACCCCAACUUCUGAAUGUUGACCUCGGAUCAGGUAGGAAUACCCGCUGAACUUAAGCAUAUCAAUAAGCGGAGGA